Molecule: ribosomal RNA, 308 nt
Filed under: uncultured bacterium
Lineage: Bacteria
Description: bacterial SSU rRNA
Rfam family: Bacterial small subunit ribosomal RNA
Source: RNAcentral
GAUGAGCGCUAGCGGCAGGCCUAACACAUGCAAGUCGAGGGGUAACAAUGUCUUCGGACAGUUGACGACCGGCGCACGGGUGAGUAUCGCGUUUGUAACCUACCUUUAACUGGAGAAUAGCCCGAAGAAAUUCGGAUUAAUACUCCAUAAUACUAUGAUCUGGCAUUCUUUUUAUAGUUAAAGCUCCGGCGGUUAAAGAUGGACAUGCGUAACAUUAGUUUGUUGGUGAGGUAACGGCUCACCAAGACUACGAUGUUUAGGGGGUCUGGGAGGAUGGUCCCCCACACUGGUACUGAGACACGGACCAG